GUUUUAAAACAUGUUAAUGAAUUUAAGAAACUGUGACUGAACUAGCUCACGCAGGGAAAAGAUAUUUCUGGCCAACAACAGUCAACACAGCCGCUAGCAUGUUACGCUGUUUGGGUGCAUUUAAACUGCAGGACCGAGUUGUUGAAGGUUGGAUGUUGAGCCUCUUAAUUAUUAACAACUAAAUUAUUAUAAGUGUUAGCUAAAUGCACCUUCCGUUGUAUUAUUUAAUAAACGGUAAUUUAACGGUAACAGCGUGUCGAUGUUAGUUAUUCCCCAGCAACCAACUUGUGUGUUAGCAAUGGUUAGCUAAGUGACUUUGGUUAGCAUAAUACAUAAUACUUUUAAUAAGCAUAUAAACUGUGUACAUACUUCGGAUUUUGGGAUGAUAAUUUUGAGUUUAAUUACUCCGAUGUAAACUCUGGGAAAGCCAUCGUUAUCCAGCAAGUAAAAGCACCAACGGAAGUCCCCCUGGUUUAUGGUCCAACCGGAAACAGAGUUGUGGUGUCUUUGGUUCCGCACACAAUCCGAUCAUGAGUGCAGCAGAAUCAGAAUCAGUUUUAUUGCCAGGGCUGUUUUAAAUAAACCAAAGACGGAGCAGGCUGUGACAUCAAGAAAGAAGACGACAAGGAUUCAUCACGCCCAGCCAGCUUGUGAAAGUGACAAGGCCGCAUGUCCAUUGUGGGAUAUUUCCAACUGGCUAAAUGAAACACAAAAAUAAUUUCCACAAAUAAAGAAAGAGGAGGAUGUGGACUCUUUUACCCGGACCGGCUUUGUUACUGAAGGAAGAUCAUGAGGAUCAUUACAACAUCUUGAAGCUUGCUGCUGGCUGCCGGACUCCCGCUGCUCCUCCGCUGUAUUCUUUUUCUGGAUUUCACUGUAGAACACAACAAGAGUAAAUGGCAGGUGGUAGUUGCAGGGCACGUCGUUCCACUGGCCAUUCUCAUGCCAGAUCAUCACUACACAGUCUUCUCUAGAGCUUUUAUUAUCUGG
Molecule: long non-coding RNA, 990 nt
Organism: Micropterus salmoides (largemouth bass)
Lineage: Eukaryota; Metazoa; Chordata; Actinopteri; Centrarchiformes; Centrarchidae
Exons: 5
Source: RefSeq, a predicted model, not a curated record